UUCCUCAGUGGCAUAAUCCCCAAUCUCUUGUAGUUUAGAGACAUCAAGAAUGCAAGAGAGCUUCUCUUGAGUGAGUACAAUCUUUAAAUUUCUCAAUCAAUCCAUGUAAUUUGGAUCAAUCAACUUGUUGGAAUCUAAAAUUCCUCGCAAUGAUAAUGAAUAUGCCAUUUAUAGAAUUUAAUCUACAAUAAAGAACAUUACAUAAACAAACAACUCAUG
RNAcentral lists this long non-coding RNA (219 nucleotides) under Elaeis guineensis (African oil palm). RNAcentral describes it as "long non-coding RNA (EGUI_LNC079223)". The record is from RNAcentral. Lineage: Eukaryota; Viridiplantae; Streptophyta; Magnoliopsida; Arecales; Arecaceae.